Molecule: unclassified non-coding RNA, 301 nt
Filed under: uncultured fungus
Lineage: Eukaryota; Fungi
Also listed under: 1 other name
Description: partial contains 5.8S ribosomal RNA, internal transcribed spacer 2, and large subunit ribosomal RNA
Rfam family: 5.8S ribosomal RNA (bases 1-52)
Source: RNAcentral
AACGCAUCUUGCGCUCCUUGGUAUUCCGAGGAGCAUGCCUGUUUGAGUGUCAUUAAAUUCUCAACUCUCUGAUACUGUUUGGUAAAAGAGAGCUUGGACUAUGGAGGCUUGCUGGCCACUCGUUUGAGGUCAGCUCCUCUGAAAUGCAUUAGCGGAACCGUUUGCGAUCUGCCACAAGUGUGAUAAAUUAUCUGCACUGGCGAGGGGAUUGCUCUCAGUAAUGUUCAGCUUCUAAUUGUCUCUGUGAGACUACUUUUGAACGCUUGACCUCAAAUCAGGUAGGACUACCCGCUGAACUUAA